Triticum aestivum (bread wheat) is the source of this 135-nucleotide non-coding RNA. Lineage: Eukaryota; Viridiplantae; Streptophyta; Magnoliopsida; Poales; Poaceae. The record is from Rfam.
CAAAUACUCCCUCCGUCCGGACAUACUUGUCAUCAAAAUGGAUAAAAGGAAAUGUAUCUAGACGUAUUUUAGUUUUAGAUACAUCUCUUUUUAUCCAUUUUGAUGACAAGUAUUUUCGGAUGGAGGGAGUAUUUA